GAUCAACUGGCCUAGUGGUAAGGCGUCCGUCUUACAAUUCUGUGCUCUCACGGCGCCAAGAAAUUGCACGGAAGAUCGUAGGUUCGAAUCCUGCGUUGAUCA
Ascosphaera acerosa is the source of this 102-nucleotide non-coding RNA. The record is from the annotation of a GenBank genome assembly. Lineage: Eukaryota; Fungi; Ascomycota; Eurotiomycetes; Onygenales; Ascosphaeraceae.